UACGUAGGGUGCAAGCGUUGUCCGGAAUUAUUGGGCGUAAAGAGCGUGUAGGCGGUUCGGUAAGUCGGCUGUGAAAGUCCAGGGCUCAACCCUGGGAUGCCGGUCGAUACUGCCGGACUAGAGUUCGGAAGAGGCGAGUGGAAUUCCCGGUGUAGCGGUGAAAUGCGCAGAUAUCGGGGAGGAACACCUAUGGCGAAGGCAGCUCGCUGGGACGUUACUGACGCUGGAGACGCGAAAGCGUGGGGAGCAAACAGG
Molecule: ribosomal RNA, 255 nt
Filed under: uncultured bacterium
Lineage: Bacteria
Description: partial 16S ribosomal RNA
Rfam family: Bacterial small subunit ribosomal RNA
Source: RNAcentral